Molecule: non-coding RNA, 86 nt
Organism: Ciona savignyi (Pacific transparent sea squirt)
Lineage: Eukaryota; Metazoa; Chordata; Ascidiacea; Phlebobranchia; Cionidae
Source: Rfam
GCCUGGACGAUCCUCAGUGGUCUGGGGUGCAGGCUUCAAACCUGUAGCUGAUUAACGUCAGAGUGGUUCGAUUCCACCUUCUAGGC